This 1640-nucleotide ribosomal RNA is filed under the name Actinoptychus undulatus. RNAcentral describes it as "SSU rRNA". It matches the Rfam family "Eukaryotic small subunit ribosomal RNA". Lineage: Eukaryota; Bacillariophyta; Coscinodiscophyceae; Coscinodiscales; Hemidiscaceae. The record is from RNAcentral.
UGCCAGUAGUCAUACGCUUAUCACAAAGAUUAAGCCAUGCACGUCUAAGUAUAAGGAUUCAUACACCGACACUGCGAAUGGCUCAUUAUAUCAGUUCUUAUCUACACGAUAAUCACUUCUAUUAGGAUAACCAGAGUAAUUCUCUAGCUAAUACUUGAAUACACGCCCAACUUUUGGACGGGCGGCAGAUAUUAGAUUUUAAACCAGCCCUCGCAAGAGGAGAACAAGGUGAUUCAUAAUAACUUUGCGGAUCGUAUGCGCUUUGCGCGACGACACAACGUUCGAGUUUCUGCCCUAUCAGUUUUGGAAGAUAAGGUAUUGGCUUAUCUUGACUUUCACGGGUAACGGAGGGUUAGGGCUUGACCCCGGAGAGGAAGCCUGAGAGACGGCUACCACAUCCAAGGAAGGCAGCAGGCGCGUAAAUUACCCAAUCUUGACACAAGGAGGUAGUGACAUUAAAUAACAAUGCUUGGUCCAAGCGAUCGAGCAAUUGGAAUGAGAACCAUUUAAAUCCCUUAUCGAGGAUCUACUGGAGGGCAAGUCUGGUGCCAGCAGCCGCGGUAAUUCCAGCUCCAGUGGCGUAUAUUAAAGUUGUUGCAGUUAAAAAGUUCGUAGUUGAUUUUCUGAUAGAUUAAUAUAGUGUGGCACUCUGUGCUACAACUACAUUUAUUCAAUCAUCCUUGGAAUUGAGUUGGGUUGGCAUUAAGUUGUCGGCUAAUGAUUUCCAUCGUUUACUGUGAAAAAAUGAGAGUGUUCAAAGCAAGCUUACGCUGUUGAAUUUGUUAGCAUGGAAUAAUAAGAUAGGACCUUGGUUCUAGUUUUGUUGGUUUGUGUACUAGGGUAAUGAAUAAUAGGGAUAGUCGGGGGUCUUCGUAUAUCCAUGUCAGAGGUGAAAUUCUUGGAUUUUGGAUCGACGCACUACUGCGAAAGCAUUGACCAAGGAUGUUUUCAUUAAUCAAGAGCGCCAGUUAGGGGAUCGAAGAUGAUUAGAUACCAUCGUAGUCCUACACCACAAAGAUGUCGGGCCAGGAUUGGAGGUCGUGAUUUAAACACCUCCAGCACUGUAUGAGAAAUUACACCAUGGAUUCUGGGGGGAUGUACGGCCGCAAGACUUAAACUUAAAGAAAUUGACGGAAGGGCACCACAAGGAGUGGAGCCUGCGGCUUAAUUUGACUCAACACGGGAAACCUCACCAGGUCCAGACACAGGUAGGAUUGACAGAUUGAGAGCUCUUUCUUGAUUCUGUGGGUGGUGGUGCAUGGCCGUUCUUAGUUGGUGAAGUGAUUUGUCUGGUUUAUUCCGUUAACGAACGAGACCCCCACUUUUAAAUAGCUACUUCAAUCGUUUUUGAUUGUUGACUAGCUUCUUAAAGGGACUUUUUGUUACAAACAAAAGGAAGUUGGGGGCAAUAACAGGUCUGUGAUGCCCUUAGAUGUCCUGGGCCGCACGCGCGCUACACUGACGCACACAGCGAGUAUAUAACCUUGGCAGAGAUGCCCGGGUAAUCUUUAAACGUGCGUCGUGAUAGGGAUAGCUCCUUGCAAUUUUGGAGCUUCAACGAGGAAUUCCUAGUAAACGCAAUUCAUCAAAUUGCAUUGAUUACGUCCCUGCCCUUUGUACACACCGCCCGUCGCACCGAC